CAACAACAACCACCAGAUCUGAAGCUAGUCACCAACAACCCACCACCAGAUCUAAAUCUUGUCCCCAUUUUCAACUACCACCGCUGUCAUCACCUCCUGCCACCACCACUAGCUGCCGCCACCCCCUGCCAUCGCCACCUCCUGCCACCGCCACCUCCUGCUACAACCAUCAAGCACCCCACACUCCCUCUCUACAUCUGACGCCCACGCUACCAAUAUUGCAGUACACCCCUCGCCGCCGCAUCUAGAAAACGGUUGGUUGUUUCCCCCAAAGAAACUGGUGGCAAACGUGUGGGGGUUUGGACAACAGUUCAGAUGUGGGUGAGAGAGGUGCGGUGGUGGUGAUAUGAGCGUGGAUUCACCAUCGCAGAUCUGAUAUGUUGUAGUGUUUGGAUUCACCAUCGCAGAUCUAUUGGGCUCACAGAUUCACCAUCGAAGAUCUGAUCAGUGUGAGAGAGGGAAUGGUGGGGGAGAAAAGACAGGUUUCGCAUCGAGGGGACAUUUAAUUUAGAGAAAGAUGGUGGUGAUGAUGGUUAGCGGCAGAUGGCGGUGGUAAUAACCGGUGGUGGUGGUUGUUUUAAUUUAGAGAGAGGGUUUAAAGAGGAGGAAAU
Molecule: long non-coding RNA, 611 nt
Organism: Helianthus annuus (common sunflower)
Lineage: Eukaryota; Viridiplantae; Streptophyta; Magnoliopsida; Asterales; Asteraceae
Exons: 2
Source: RefSeq, a predicted model, not a curated record